This 72-nucleotide transfer RNA is filed under the name Bos taurus (domestic cattle). It matches the Rfam family "tRNA". From Rfam's summary of the family: Transfer RNA (tRNA) molecules are approximately 80 nucleotides in length. Their secondary structure includes four short double-helical elements and three loops (D, anti-codon, and T loops). The record is from Rfam by way of RNAcentral. RNAcentral also lists the same sequence under 2 other names. Lineage: Eukaryota; Metazoa; Chordata; Mammalia; Artiodactyla; Bovidae.
UCCCUGUUGGCUCAGAGGAGAAAGCAUCUGCCUGCCAUGCAGGACACCCGGGUUCAAUCCCUGGGUUGGGAA